UACGUAUGGGGCAAGCGUUAUCCGGAUUUACUGGGUGUAAAGGGAGCGUAGGCGGCAGGGCAAGCCUGAUGUGAAAGCCCGGGGCUCAACCCCGGGACUGCAUUGGGAACUGCCCUGCUGGAGUGCCGGAGGGGCAGGCGGAAUUCCUAGUGUAGCGGUGAAACGCGUAGAUAUUAGGAGGAACACCAGUGGCGAAGGCGGCCUGCUGGACGGUGACUGACGCUGAGGCUCGAAAGCGUGGGGAGCAAACAGG
Molecule: ribosomal RNA, 253 nt
Filed under: uncultured bacterium
Lineage: Bacteria
Description: partial 16S ribosomal RNA
Rfam family: Bacterial small subunit ribosomal RNA
Source: RNAcentral